RNAcentral lists this RNase P RNA (354 nucleotides) under Campylobacterota bacterium. RNAcentral's name for it is "Epsilonproteobacteria bacterium (hydrothermal vent metagenome) RNase P RNA component class A". It matches the Rfam family "Bacterial RNase P class A". From Rfam's summary of the family: Ribonuclease P (RNase P) is a ubiquitous endoribonuclease, found in archaea, bacteria and eukarya as well as chloroplasts and mitochondria. Its best characterised activity is the generation of mature 5'-ends of tRNAs by cleaving the 5'-leader elements of precursor-tRNAs. Lineage: Bacteria; Pseudomonadati; Campylobacterota. The record is from RNAcentral.
AAGGUGCAACAGGUAGUUGCUGGUGACAUCUUUGUCACGAGAGGAAAGUCCGGGCUGCAUGCAAAGCAGGGCUCCAUCUAACAGAUGGCCAGAGUAAUCUGAGGGCAAGUGCAACAGAGAGAAAGUAGUCCAUAUCUUUUAGGUAUGGUCAAUGUGAAAGGGUGGGGUAAGAGCCCACCAGUACUUAUGGUAACAUAGGUAGCUAGGUAAACCCUGUCCGCAGCAAGAAGUAUAUGGUAUAAGCUUUGCAAGCUGUUAAAUCAGCACACAUACUUCGCUCGAGCAUAGUGGCAACGCUAUGCCUAGAUAAAUAACUACCCACGACAAAACCCGGCUUAUCGUUGCACCUUAACU